Molecule: long non-coding RNA, 1543 nt
Organism: Homo sapiens (human)
Lineage: Eukaryota; Metazoa; Chordata; Mammalia; Primates; Hominidae
Gene: LOH12CR2
Product: loss of heterozygosity on chromosome 12, region 2
Source: Ensembl
GGCUACGCAAGACCUUCAGUUCCGGAUUAGGAGGCCCCGCCCCCCGGCCCGAGGGAGGGGCGGAGAGACCCGCUCCUGCGACUUAGGGCGAUGCCACCUUAAAGGGCUUGACCUCCUCGAAGCCAGAACUGCGGAAGAGGAUGGAGAAAGAAACGCUAGAUAGACCCAGGAUUCGAACCCACAACAGCUUGGAUGCAAAGCUCAUUUUGAAUUCUGAAGAGCUGGGAGUUUAGCAGUGGACGACCAAACAAAAAAAUACCAGAAGACGGUGAAAGCAGCAGCUGGAAAUGAGAGAAAAAUUAAGAAAUAGAAAAUGCUGUUUCAUGUAUUAGGGAGUGCACAUCUUUAAAGAGAAGUGAAGAACCUUUUUGGCUAGGCGCUUUCUGGGGACCUUGGCAGUUAUCAACAAGUCACUCUGAAACUAACAGAAGGUGAGGAGGGAGUAAUCCAGAAAGGAAACUGCCAUUUUUGCUAGGGCAAGAAAGUAGACCUAGCAAUGCAAUGCCAUCAAGGAGUUAGCUGGCUCUAGCGUUCUCCGAACUUUGCAACUCAUUUUAUAUUACAUUGUCUGCGUCAAGAAAUUUCAAGUAAAUGCCUUGAGAUUUUAUAUGUAUAAAAUGUAGUCUCUGGCCAGGCGGGGUGGCUCACGCCUGUAAUCCCAGCACUUUGGGAGGCUGAGGCGAGUAGAUCACGAUGUCAGGAGAUCAAGACCAUCCUGGCUAACAUGGUGAAACCCCGUCUCUACUAAAAAAUACAAAAAAUUAGCCGGGCAUGAUGGUGGGCGCCUGUAGUCCCAGCUACUCGGGAGGCUGAGACAGGAGAAUGGUGUGAACCCGGGAGGCAGAGCUUGCAGUGAGCCGAGAUCGCGCCACUGCACUCCAGCCUGGGCGACAGAGCGAGACUCCGUCUCAAAAAAAAAAAAAAAAAAAAAAGUCUCAGAAGAAGUGUCAAGUUGACUAAAUGAUUUUUAAGUCCCUUCCACUCUACUAUAUCACAAUAAUUUCCCCUAUUUUACCUUAUUUAAUUUUCACAACAACCCUGCAGCCUGUAAGUAGGUGACUCCUCCAUGGUCAGCAGGUGGUCAGUGGUCGAACUAUUUAGGACUAUCUGAUGCUCUUUCCUCUGCUCACCAUUGCAAUACAAUGAGAAAAAUGCAAAUGAAUCUAAGUACAGUGUUCUCUGGGAAUAUGAAGAUAGAACUAAAAACUGCCUGAGAGAUCAGGGCAGGCUUCUAGAAAGUUGUGUCUAACUAGUCUUGAGGUUUACAUAAACCACACCAGGCUGAUGGGACUGGGAAGGGCCCACUAAGCAGUGAGACCAUUCCCUUUUGGAGAGUCCUUGCAUCCCCUCCCAGAUUUCCUCUUUGAGGGGAAGGUGAGAGAGGAGGUAAAAGGGGUGAGGAAUGGAGAAUAACUCAUUCUGGUUCUUGUUUCCCCUUUUCCACAUAAAAGUAUAUUUGUCUUGUGUUCCAUACACCAGUCCAUACUGAUGUGAUGGUGUUUUUUAUGCUUCCUUUUGAAUAAACAUUUCAUUCUUAAAAGGA